This 498-nucleotide ribosomal RNA is filed under the name uncultured bacterium. RNAcentral's name for it is "partial 16S ribosomal RNA". It matches the Rfam family "Bacterial small subunit ribosomal RNA", at positions 29 to 523 of the family's 1533-position model. The record is from RNAcentral.
AUUGAACGCUGGCGGCAUGCCUUACACAUGCAAGUCGAACGGUAACGCGGGGCAACCUGGCGACGAGUGGCGAACGGGUGAGUAAAGCAUCGGAACGUGCCCAGUAGUGGGGGAUAGCCCGGCGAAAGCCGGAUUAAUACCGCAUACGACCUAUGGGUGAGAGGGGGGGAUCGCAAGACCUCUCGCUAUUGGAGCGGCCGAUGUCAGAUUAGGUAGUUGGUGGGGUAAAGGCCUACCAAGCCGACGAUCUGUAGCUGGUCUGAGAGGACGUCCAGCCACACUGGGACUGAGACACGGCCCAGACUCCUACGGGAGGCAGCAGUGGGGAAUUUUGGACAAUGGGCGCAAGCCUGAUCCAGCCAUGCCGCGUGCGGGAAGAAGGCCUUCGGGUUGUAAACCGCUUUUGUCAGGGAAGAAAUCCUUUGGGUUAAUACCUCGGGGGGAUGACGGUACCUGAAGAAUAAGCACCGGCUAACUACGUGCCAGCCGCCGCAGUAA